GGAGACCGGGGAUAAACUCCCCAAAGGGGUGCUAAUACCGGAUGUCCUCAUCGGACCGCAUGGUCUGAUGAGGAAAAUGGAUUCCGCUCCAGGAGGGCCUCGCGGCCUAUCAGCUUGUUGGUGAGGUAACGGCUCACCAAGGCGUCGACGGGUAGCUGGUCUGAGAGGACGAUCAGCCACACUGGGACUGAGACACGGCCCAG
RNAcentral lists this ribosomal RNA (203 nucleotides) under uncultured bacterium. RNAcentral's name for it is "partial 16S ribosomal RNA". It matches the Rfam family "Bacterial small subunit ribosomal RNA", at positions 133 to 334 of the family's 1533-position model. The record is from RNAcentral.